GGUGAGGUGGCCGAGUGGUUAUGGCGCGUGACUCAAGCUCAAGCUUGCCUCUUACUCAACAGAGGUAGUAUUCUCGUAGCGCAAGCUGCGUGGGUUCGAAUCCCACCCUCAUCA
Zalaria obscura is the source of this 114-nucleotide non-coding RNA. NCBI's taxonomy places the organism in Eukaryota, Fungi, Ascomycota, Dothideomycetes, Dothideales, Zalariaceae. The record is from the annotation of a GenBank genome assembly.